AUGAGUCCAACCUAGCAAUGAAGUCUGUCAUCAGACCCCAUGGAUUGCCAGGAUUGAUCCAGCUCAUCUGGCUGGCUAAGCUAGUUUUCUCUUUCUCUCUCACUGUCCCAUAGAUGCCCCUAUUAAAGGAUCAAAAAGGAAAAUCUUCCCAGAUUAAAGGAGACUGGUUUGGUCAGGAUGAGUAGCUCAGCUCUCUUCCUAGAACCUCCUAACUAACUCUCAAAUAAGUUAAGGAAAGAGAAGAAAAUUGUUUCUUGCCUCAAAUUUU
Molecule: small nuclear RNA, 268 nt
Filed under: Rattus norvegicus (Norway rat)
Lineage: Eukaryota; Metazoa; Chordata; Mammalia; Rodentia; Muridae
Description: 7SK RNA
Rfam family: 7SK RNA
About the family: 7SK was discovered as an abundant small nuclear RNA in the mid-70s but a possible function has only recently been suggested. Two independent studies have found that 7SK RNA binds the CDK9/cyclin T complex (known as elongation factor P-TEFb).
Source: Rfam by way of RNAcentral